RNAcentral lists this unclassified non-coding RNA (165 nucleotides) under uncultured Microascales. Its description in RNAcentral is "sequence contains ITS1". Lineage: Eukaryota; Fungi; Ascomycota; Sordariomycetes; Microascales. The record is from RNAcentral.
CCGAGUACCGGGCGCACGCCCGUACCCACACACCAUGUUUACAUUCCACGUUGCUUCGGCGGGCCGUCGGGUGCCCCGCCCCCGGCUUCACCGCUGGGGUGUGCCUGCCGGAGGACCUUCUAAACGCCUUGCAAACCGGCGGUCCGAGUCUAUAUGAAUCAGUCA